RNAcentral lists this ribosomal RNA (497 nucleotides) under uncultured bacterium. Its description in RNAcentral is "partial 16S ribosomal RNA". It matches the Rfam family "Bacterial small subunit ribosomal RNA", at positions 28 to 507 of the family's 1533-position model. The record is from RNAcentral.
GAUGAACGCUGGCGGCGUGCCUAAUACAUGCAAGUCGAGCGAACAGACGAGGAGCUUGCUCCUCUGAUGUUAGCGGCGGACGGGUGAGUAACACGUGGAUAACCUACCUAUAAGACUGGGAUAACUUCGGGAAACCGGAGCUAAUACCGGAUAAUAUUUUGAACCGCAUGGUUCAAUAGUGAAAGACGGUUUUGCUGUCACUUAUAGAUGGAUCCGCGCCGCAUUAGCUAGUUGGUAAGGUAACGGCUUACCAAGGCAACGAUGCAUAGCCGACCUGAGAGGGUGAUCGGCCACACUGGAACUGAGACACGGUACAGACUCCUACGGGAGGCAGCAGUAGGGAAUCUUCCGCAAUGGGCGAAAGCCUGACGGAGCAACGCCGCGUGAGUGAUGAAGGUCUUCGGAUCGUAAAACUCUGUUAUUAGGGAAGAACAAAUGUGUAAGUAACUGUGCACGUCUUGACGGUACCUAAUCAGAAAGCCACGGCUAACUACGUG